UGGGGAAUAUUGCACAAUGGAGGGAACUCUGAUGCAGCGACGCCGCGUGAACGAAGAAGGCUUUCGAGUCGUAAAGUUCUUUUAUAUGGGAAGAUAAUGACGGUACCAUAAGAAAAAGCCCCGGCUAACUACGUGCCAGCAGCCGCGGUAAUACGUAGGGGGCUAGCGUUGUCCGGAAUCACUGGGCGUAAAGGGUUCGCAGGCGGAAAUGCAAGUCAGGUGUAAAAGGCAGUAGCUUAACUACUGUAAGCAUUUGAAACUGCAUAUCUUGAGAAGAGUAGAGGUAAGUGGAAUUUUUAGUGUAGCGGUGAAAUGCGUAGAUAUUAAAAAGAAUAACGGUGGGUAAAGCGACUUACUGGGCUCAUUCUGACGCUGAGGAACGAAAGCGUGGGUAGCAAACAGG
RNAcentral lists this ribosomal RNA (403 nucleotides) under bacterium. RNAcentral describes it as "partial 16S ribosomal RNA". It matches the Rfam family "Bacterial small subunit ribosomal RNA", at positions 355 to 776 of the family's 1533-position model. The record is from RNAcentral.